Molecule: long non-coding RNA, 1518 nt
Filed under: Homo sapiens (human)
Lineage: Eukaryota; Metazoa; Chordata; Mammalia; Primates; Hominidae
Description: HSALNT0124934
Source: RNAcentral
GCCUCAGCAGCCAUGGAAGAUGAGUCACCUGCUCUGAAAAUGGACUCCUCUUUCCUGGAGAUAGCAUCACUUGCACUAUUUGCAGAGUCGCAGACACAGGAAGAAGAUGGCCAUCUAAAAGUCAAAAGAAGAAGCCUGGAACAGAUUUUUCCCUCACAGUUCUCAGAAGGAGCCAGUGGUGCCGACAACUUGAUCUAGUCUCCAGAGCUAUACCACAACCAAUUCCACUUAUUUAAGCCACCUAGGUUGUGGUACCUCGCUACAGCAUCACCUAGAAAAUUAAUGCACCUUCAUUACCCAGAGAUAACCUCAGUAAACACUUACUAUACAUUUAAAAAUCUGUGGCCUAUUUCUGUUUACUUAUUCAAAUAUUUUUUUUUCACAUAACACUAAAUUUUGAACAAAUUUUUCAGUCUAUGGCGGUGACGUCUUGUGCCCUACCCUGAAGUCCAUUUUUCCUUCCUCCCAGUAACAAUGCUCUAAUUUUAGUGCUCAAUCAAAAGAUAACAUUUGCAGCCUCCCUUGGGCCAUGUGCUUAUUUAUCUAAAUUCUGGACAAAAUGAUGUUAGCAGAAAUGUUGUAUUGGACUGUAAAGAACUGCAAAGUUUCUAAAAUUUUGCACUACUUGAAAGCAAAAAAGAAACCCUUCCACAGAAAGGUGGUUUUCUUGUCCCAGUUUUCUGAGUGCCAAUUCCCACAGGGCCAGAAGAGGAUGAGACACUUACAGAGCCUAAAACUUUUAUAAUGGUCAGUGAACCUGCACACCCUUUGUGUAGGACAGAAAUGCUGUUUCUACCUUGCAAGGCUGCUUCCUAUAAAAAAUUCUUAAAACGAUAGACCACCAGCCAACGUUUUGAGGAUGCAUUCAUAUUUUCAGAAUGACAGUAGGAAGAGAGGAAACUGAGCUCCAUACUAGUCCUGGCCUAUGCACCCCCCCAGACUUCUUUUAUGGCUGAGGAAAUUAAACUUCUUUAGUUAAAUCACUUAUUUUGGGAAUUUUCUGUGGUGCUGUCCAAUCCUAGGUCUAACUGGCAUGCAGUCAAUAAAACUUACAUUUAAAACUUCAUUUUUCAGCCGGGCACAGUGGCUCACAUGUGUAAUCCCAGCACCAAGUCAGGUGCAUCACCUGAGGUCAGGAAUUUGAGACCAGACUGGCCAACAUCGUGAAACCCUGUCUCUAUUAAAAUACAAAAUUAUUUUACUCUAUUAAAAAUACAAAAUUUAGCCGGGCGCGGUGGCGGGCACCUGUAAUCCCAGCUACUCGUAAGGCUGAGGCCGGAGAAUCAUUUGAACUCAGGAGGCAGAGGUUGCAGUGAGCCGAGGUGGCGCCAUUGCACUCCAGCCUGGGCAACAAGAGUGAAACUCCAUCUCAAAAAUAAAUAAAUAAAUAAAUAAAUAAAUAAAUAAAUAAAUAAAUAAAUAAAAUAAAAUAAAAUACUUCAUUUUUCAUAAUGACAAAGAAGUAAAUCAUAUAAUCAUACCAUCAUUUCCUUAGUUAAACCCAUUAUUGUACUCCCC